Molecule: ribosomal RNA, 448 nt
Filed under: uncultured bacterium
Lineage: Bacteria
Description: bacterial SSU rRNA
Rfam family: Bacterial small subunit ribosomal RNA
Source: RNAcentral
UCGAGGAUCUUUAGCAAUGCCCGAAAGGGUGACUAUGCGACGCCGCGUGGAGGAUGAAGGCCUUCGGGUUGUAAACUCCUGUCAAGAGGGAAGAAACCUUGCACGUGAAUAGCGUGUAAGCUGACAUUACCUCUAAAGGAAGCCACGGCUAACUCUGUGCCAGCAGCCGCGGUAAGACAGAGGUGGCAAGCGUUGUUCGGAUUCAUUGGGUGUAAAGGGCAGGUAGGCUGUUUUGCAAGUCUGACGUGAAAUCCCAGGGCUCAACCCUGGAACUGCGUUGGAAACUGCAUGACUUGAGUACUGUAGAGGUGUGGGGAAUUCUCGGUGUAAGGGUGAAAUCUGUAGAUAUCGAGAGGAACACCAGUGGCGAAGGCGCCACACUGGACAGUUACUGACGCUGAGCUGCGAAAGCAAGGGGAGCAAACAGGAUUAGAUACCCCGGUAGUCC